RNAcentral lists this ribosomal RNA (595 nucleotides) under uncultured bacterium. Its description in RNAcentral is "bacterial SSU rRNA". It matches the Rfam family "Bacterial small subunit ribosomal RNA", at positions 271 to 858 of the family's 1533-position model. The record is from RNAcentral.
AGGCGACGAUGCAUAGCCGGCCUGAGAGGGUGACCGGCCACACUGGGACUGAGACACGGCCCAGACUCCUACGGGAGGCAGCAGUAGGGAAUUUUCCGCAAUGGGCGCAAGCCUGACGGAGCGACGCCGCGUGAGUGAAGAAAGCCUUCGGGUUGUAAAGCUCUGUCUUUGGUGAAGAAGAACCUGAGGAAGAAAUGCCUUAGGAGUGACGGUAGCCGAGGAGGAAGCCCCGGCUAACUACGUGCCAGCAGCCGCGGUAAUACGUAGGGGGCGAGCGUUGUCCGGAAUUAUUGGGCGUAAAGGGCGCGCAGGCGGUCUAUACAAGUCUUGUGUGAAAACCUAGGGCUCAACCCUGGGACUGCACAAGAAACUGUUAGACUUGAGGACAGAAGAGGAGAGUGGAAUUCCUAGUGUAGCGGUGAAAUGCGUAGAUAUUAGGAGGAACACCAGUGGCGAAGGCGACUCUCUGGUCUGUAACUGACGCUGAGGCGCGAAAGCGUGGGUAGCAAACAGGAUUAGAUACCCUGGUAGUCCACGCCGUAAACGAUGAGUGCUAUGUGUUGGAGGGUACCACCUUCAGUGCAGCAGUUAACGC